UCAUCUUCUGUUUCUUGAGGUAGGUUCCACAUUCAGUCCUGAUGUGUCCAUACCUAUCACAUUCAUAGCACUAUACCUCUUUUCCUUCUUUGAGCUUCUCAUCUGAUCUUGCUCUUCUUCCAGCAUUGUUGGAUUUACUAAUGUCAGAUGAGAUGUUCUUGACAUUUGUCUUAGAUCUUACAUCCAUCUUUUUCAACAGUUUAUUGAACUGUCUUCCCAGCAUUGCUACUUCAUUGACCAAAUCUUCAUCAACCUCCUGACUC
Molecule: long non-coding RNA, 263 nt
Filed under: Lathyrus oleraceus (garden pea)
Lineage: Eukaryota; Viridiplantae; Streptophyta; Magnoliopsida; Fabales; Fabaceae
Description: Pisum sativum (pea) long non-coding RNA (PSAT_LNC020106)
Source: RNAcentral